AUUGAACGCUGGCGGCAGGCCUAACACAUGCAAGUCGAACGAGUGGCGGACGGGUGAGUAAUGUCUGGGAAACUGCCCGAUGGAGGGGGAUAACUACUGGAAACGGUAGCUAAUACCGCAUACCAUCGGCUGUGCCCAGAUGGGAUUAGCUAGUAGGUGGGGUAACGGCUCACCUCGGCGACGAUCCCUAGCUGGGCUGAGAGGAUCACCAUCCCCCCGGGAACUGAGAAACGGUCCAGACUACACCCCAAACCAUCAUUACAAAAUAUUAAACAAUGAACGCAAGCCGGAUAGAGCCAUGCCGCGUGUAUGAAGAAAACCUUGGAGUUUUAACGUACUUUCAGCGAGGAGGCGUUACUCGCAGAAGAAGCACCGGCUAACUCCGUGCCAGCAGCCGCGGUAAUUC
This 406-nucleotide ribosomal RNA is filed under the name uncultured bacterium. RNAcentral describes it as "partial 16S ribosomal RNA". It matches the Rfam family "Bacterial small subunit ribosomal RNA", at positions 30 to 526 of the family's 1533-position model. The record is from RNAcentral.